AGGAAGAUUCUCUGAUUAAGGCU
RNAcentral lists this non-coding RNA (23 nucleotides) under Cricetulus griseus (Chinese hamster). Lineage: Eukaryota; Metazoa; Chordata; Mammalia; Rodentia; Cricetidae. The record is from RNAcentral.